CCGGAUCCCUCCCACAUUAGACCUACCACACCCUCAGGGCAGACAACAGCUCCACACACCCCACACUCAGCCACCAGGGCAAGGGAGCAAAAUUCCAGAAAGCUCAGAGCGGACUGAUGUACUGGCCCUUAGUACAGCCUCCAGGAUAUUAUGUGUGCACCGGCGUGGGAUCCUGGAACUGGCAGGAAUUGUGGGUUGUGUUAGUCCCUAGACUCCCAUCGCCUAUAUGAAAUAUGGUUCCUUUUGUGGCUUGGGAGGCCAUGGCCAGCCCUGCGAUGCCAUUGACUGGUUACCAUGCCAGCAAUGAUUCCUUUUGAGUUUCUGACAGAAGAUAGUGGUUUUCAUCCAAAUAAGUCAACUACUCUACCCCAUCCCUAAGCCACUUGUAUGGAAAGAAAAAGAGGAAGAAGCCAGUACUGUGACUGCGUAAGCUUCCCCCAGCAUCACCCGCUAUGAGAUGUGUGGCAGCUGAGACCCGGGAACUGCUCAAGGGCACCAGGCCCCAUCUGUCUGCACUCACUCACCUUCCUCAG
RNAcentral lists this long non-coding RNA (533 nucleotides) under Homo sapiens (human). RNAcentral describes it as "HSALNT0385303". The record is from RNAcentral. Lineage: Eukaryota; Metazoa; Chordata; Mammalia; Primates; Hominidae.